This is a non-coding RNA of Salmo salar (Atlantic salmon), 373 nucleotides long. NCBI's taxonomy places the organism in Eukaryota, Metazoa, Chordata, Actinopteri, Salmoniformes, Salmonidae. The record is from RefSeq and is a predicted model, not a curated record.
GUUUGGAGAGCUGCUUCGUAGCUGUGGAGAGUCCUUGAAAAAGCAAAUGGAAUGGUUGUCGAGAAGAACAUUGGUGAAAAAAUCUGAAUCCUUUUUAUCCUUGGGAAAACGACCGCUGAGUAUAAUUCUGAGAAUUUGGAGAAAGAGCUACAACAAGGAAAUGGGAGAGCUCACCCUGUUUGAGAGAGCGUGUGGGGGUAGAGGGCCACCCUGGUGAAGCUCUCGUUCUGCAGACUCUUGGGGACCAGUGAGGAGGAGAUGAACUGGCUGCUGUCGUCGUUGUCCUGGUCCUGGCUCAGUGAAUCCCCGCUACAGCCCGACGAGGACUCUCCAUUGGGGAGGACAGGCAGCUUGGAGUGCUCGUGCAGUGAGG